This 64-nucleotide transfer RNA is filed under the name Verrucomicrobiota bacterium. Its description in RNAcentral is "tRNA-Pro". The record is from RNAcentral. Lineage: Bacteria; Pseudomonadati; Verrucomicrobiota.
CGGGCCGUAGCACAGGGUAGUGCGCUUGAAUGGCUUCAAGAGGGAGCGAAUCCCGCCGGCCUGA